UCGUAAAUCCGUUUCCAGCCCUAAGCUCUUGCUCAAAGCGUACUUCCACAUUUUCAGUUUCUUGCUGCGUCUCUCCAAUUUACUAUGUUAAAGGACUCAUUUCCUGUUUUCUUGGGUUUCCCAUCUAAAGCUGAGGCUAAGUGUAAAUAUCACCAUUUCUAAAUGUCCUCUCUAUUCUAGUCCUCACUGAUCUGGUCUUCCCAAAUCCUUUAGAAUUUAUUUAUCACUUUUAGGUGUUAUUACGGCUUGUAUUUUUUGUUAGUUUUAAUUGUAUACUUUGCCUCCCAAAUUAGAUUUUAAACUUCAUGAGGCCAAAAAUUUGUAUAUAAAUGUAUCAGGUUUUUGCAGCAUUCCCUCCCUCCUUUCUGAAAUCUUUCUCUCCUCUGUUAGUCGAGAAAAAAAAAUAGUUACCACCAGAGGGCAGUGGAGAGGUCAGAGAUAAUAACGGAAAAAAGGCCAUAGGUUUAGCAAAGUUGAUAUAAUACAAUUUACUAAGAUUUCUCUACUCUCUUUAGCAUCAUAGAAAUGGAUGUGAUUUAUUUAAUUCUGGGUGCCAAAUUUUAACAGAGAAAACUAUAAACGGUGUAUCAGAAUGCCGUGACCAGUUGGAGUAUGAGGAGAGGUUGGAGCAUCUGGGAAUGUAAGCCUAGAAAAGAAAAGUCAAGGCAGCUCAUGCCAGCUGUUUUUGACUUUUUAGAAGAAUGGCCUGUGAAAGGGUCAUUAAACUUACUCGGUUCAGCUUUCAUUGAGGACUAACCACUGAGAGAUGUGUGGAGCCGCGUGGAGCCGCAUUUGCCUCAGCCACACCAGAGCUUGACCUGAUGUUUCAAAAACAAAAGACAAAACAAACCAUAACAACAACAACACCUCUUACAUCAGGGCAUUGUAGUGGCAUUUGAGUUUUACCCUUGAAACUACACAAACACUUAAUGAAAGUCAUAGGUUAAUUUUUGCUGUUAAUUCUUUGGGUUCAUCUAAAGAAAGAACACUUUUGUGCUAUUAGUCAAUCUGUCUUUAAGCGUUUUUUCUUAGUGGACUUUUUACAUUUAACCAACAAGAUCAUUAUUUUGAUUUAUGUAUCUGGAUAUCCCCAGAUUAGGCAUUUUUACUGAUGCCAAAGCAAAACUUAAAGGAGGUUCAAGAAGGAGACCACAUUUCAGACACGCCCCUGUGGGGUCAAUUACCACCUGUAAAUAGCUAUAUAAUCUGUCACUUAAUGACAAAUCAAUCUUUCUAAAACAUUUUUGUCAGUUGAUUGUUCGAUAACCUCUCCACAGAUAUUAAUAAAACCCAACUCAUCAACUCUGUAUUUUA
This 1314-nucleotide long non-coding RNA is filed under the name Equus caballus (horse). RNAcentral describes it as "lncRNA (ENSECAG00000057198.1)". Lineage: Eukaryota; Metazoa; Chordata; Mammalia; Perissodactyla; Equidae. The record is from RNAcentral.